Molecule: long non-coding RNA, 1719 nt
Organism: Musa acuminata AAA Group (dessert banana)
Lineage: Eukaryota; Viridiplantae; Streptophyta; Magnoliopsida; Zingiberales; Musaceae
Exons: 4
Source: RefSeq, a predicted model, not a curated record
GCAAGAGCAGUUACCGGAGCCCAUGCACAACUACUUCAUGCAUCUUCUUCUUCUUCUUCCUCUUCCUCCUCCCUCCUUUACUUGUUCUGACCUUUCUCCGUGCUUUUCCUUUGCGGUUGCAGGGAAUUUUGGCGACCUCGGAAGAGCAGGAAGGGACUCAUGAGACGGGGCACCGAGAUUGACAUCUGCAUGCUGCUGAAUGACAGAUUAAUGCCGGUCGGAAGAAGGUCUGCUUCAUAUCUACAAUGGCGUGUUGCUCACCGUUGAGGCCCGCUUCCGCUGUGCCUCCGGUGGACAUCCUCGGGGAAGCCGAAGUCGGCGCCUAACUUUGGGAUCAACUCAUGCGAAGCCAAAACCAGCGAGCGAGGAAGAAGAUGGCAGGUCUGAGCCAAGCAAGCCCAACCGGUUCUCCCACUACAGGCCCUCCCAAGUGGCUCGCUCAUGGCCAUGGCCGUGUCCUCUACCCCCUCUUCACCAUCCUCAACAUCGUCCUCAUACUCCUCCUCUACUACUACCUCUGGCGGAUAUUCUGCAGAAGGUCUCAGCGGUUGAGUGACGCCGCCGCCGCUGCCGCCGCCGCUUCUUCCUCCACCGCCAGCUCUCCCUCGCCCUCCCUGCGCAACGACAGGGUUAACCCUGACGUCCUCUCGUCGCUACCGGACUUCCUCUACUCCGCGUCAGGGGAGGAGAAGCAGGAGUGCGUAGUGUGCUUGUCGGAGUUCAAAGAUGGCGACAAAGGGAGGCUGCUGCCGAUAUGCGGCCAUAGGUUCCACGCCGACUGCAUCGACAUGUGGUUUCGGUCACAGGCCACCUGCCCCAUCUGCCGAUCGGCUGUGGGAAGCAAAGCUCAGGGAUCAGAUGAGGCAGCAUGAUCGAUCCCAUGUUCUUGUUCUUGAAACGAGUUGGUGAUUGCUCUUCUAGCUUAGAUCUAUCACGAUGUCCUUCGGACUGUCAUCUUUGAUUCUUACACGCAAUCUUCACCGGAUUACCUUCCAACUCCACUCAUUUCUUGAUCUUGCAACUCAAAUCCCUGUGUCAGAGAUCUACUCGAUUGUGCUGAAGAGAUAAGAACCGUACGGUCUACUAAAUAAGACGCGCAUUCAUGUAGACUGUGAGAUUCCUCCGCCCUAUUGGCCACCGCCUUGGCUCCACUACACCCCUGCCCUCCCCUCCGCCCCGCUGCGCCCCCACCUCACACCUCUCCGCAUCGCCCUCAACUCCAUCCGCCUCCAUGCCGCCUUUGCCACCCGACGCAACCCCCUUCCUCUCGCCCGCCCUUGCCACCUGACUCGUCCUCGUUCCUCCGAAUGAAGGAGUUCGUCUCCUUCCGUUCCUCCGGAAAGAAUUCCUUUAUCAACGCCUUCCUUUCCUACGGAGGCUUCACGACUUCGAGAACGGAGGUGGAGGAGGGCGACGGAGGGGGUAGGGGCAAGGAAGAGAACGCCACACCUCUGAGGGUUCGAGUCGGGUGGCGAGGGUGUGGAGGCGAUGGCCCGACGAAGAGGAUCGAGUUGGGUGGCGAGGGCGGCAUGGAGGCCGAGGGGGGUCAUGGCCGAGGGUGGAGAGGGAAGACAUCAACGGAGAAAUUCCUUCAAAUGAAGGGAACCGACGGAAGUCCUUCCUUUGGAGGACCAGGGUCGAGUCGGAUGCUGAGGGCGGUGUGGAGGAGAAGGCCGUCGAGGGUGGAAGGACAGUGGCGCCGACCACGGUAGGACAGAG